This 404-nucleotide ribosomal RNA is filed under the name uncultured bacterium. RNAcentral's name for it is "bacterial SSU rRNA". It matches the Rfam family "Bacterial small subunit ribosomal RNA", at positions 355 to 776 of the family's 1533-position model. The record is from RNAcentral.
UGGGGAAUAUUGGACAAUGGGCGAAAGCCUGAUCCAGCAAUGCCGCGUGAGUGAUGAAGGCCCUAGGGUUGUAAAGCUCUUUUACCCGGGAUGAUAAUGACAGUACCGGGAGAAUAAGCUCCGGCUAACUCCGUGCCAGCAGCCGCGGUAAUACGGAGGGAGCUAGCGUUGUUCGGAAUUACUGGGCGUAAAGCGCGCGUAGGCGGUCCAUCAAGUCAGAGGUGAAAGCCCGGGGCUCAACCCCGGAACUGCCUUUGAAACUGGCGGACUAGAAUCUUGGAGAGGCGAGUGGAAUUCCGAGUGUAGAGGUGAAAUUCGUAGAUAUUCGGAAGAACACCAGUGGCGAAGGCGACUCGCUGGACAAGUAUUGACGCUGAGGUGCGAAAGCGUGGGGAGCAAACAGG